RNAcentral lists this long non-coding RNA (1642 nucleotides) under Rhagoletis pomonella (apple maggot). RNAcentral describes it as "uncharacterized LOC118747389". Lineage: Eukaryota; Metazoa; Arthropoda; Insecta; Diptera; Tephritidae. The record is from RNAcentral.
UACAUACAUAUGUACACAUGUAUUCAAAUGUUAUGAAAAGGACUCUUUACUUUGAAGUAUUGAACUGUUCUUAAAUUCAUAUAAUACAUUUGUAUGUAUAGCGGCAUACACAUAUGCAUGAAUGUACAUGCAUUUGGACUUACACUCACAUGCACAGGUAUGUAAGUUGUAUAGCUUGUAUAGCAACUGCUCAUACCGAAAGACCAAAAAAAAUGCAGCGAAAAUCGGAUGGAUCGGAUCGGACGGAGGGAAAUUGCGUUUGAUGCCAUCGUUUUGGCAAUACAUAUUUAAAAUAUAUUUAUAUAAAUUCGAACUCAUAAAAACUAUACUCUCUAACAUUACGGAAAAUCGACGUCAUACUCUAUCAAAGUUAAAUUGUAAAUACUACGUAGGGUUCAAACGUACUUGGCAGGAAUAAGCAGGAAGUCAAAUUUUAUAAACCGUGUUUAGAUCCCUUUUAACAUACACAUGUAUGUAUGUAUGCAUAUGUAGCAUCCGCAUUGUUAAUUUGUAACUUUUUAAACAUUGAAAUGUUUAUUUUCUUUACCUUUCUAUUCGCAAUUCUUCGCCAAGAAUGCCAAAAGUAUGACCCAUUACCAAGCACUUUCAUUCAAGCGAAGUCCAAUUUUUGGUGAUAACCGAUAUUAGUCGCGGUUUAAUUGAUUUGCUAAUGUGAAAGACAACAAGCCUUCGUGAAGCUUACAAAAUUCAUUAGUUACUAUUUACAUACAUAUGUAUAUGUAAAUAACUCAAGGUAAAAAGUACAUAUCACUGGCUUAGAGUUAAAAGUUACGAAGUCCAUUUAAACAAAUUUUACAAGAAAGAACAAUCUUAUUGUAUCCAUUUUUUCAAGCAUAUCACACGACUUUGAAUGCAACAUUUUGAGUCUUUAGAGCAAAGCAAAACUUCCUUUCCCGCGCUUUUUUGGAACGGAUGGAAAUAAAACAAGUACCCUUUGAAAACGAUGCAUUUUCAUUGGUAAAUUAUGGAUAGCAACACAACCUUAGUUGAGGUUGCCAAUGGGCAACGCCACUGAAAUGAAAACGUAUGUAUAUUAUAAAUAGCAACUACAGUUAAGUGCUAUAAAGUUGAAGAUACCAGAAUUUUGAUGUACCAGCAAUCAAGGCUUUAGUGAAAACCAGCUGCAGAAGCAAUUGAAAAAAAAAAAAACAGAUUUUUAUCCGCGACAACCACAAAAAUGAAGUUGCCAAUAUAUAAAUUUAGCAACUCCAGCCAGCCAGCUUCCAAUUAGUUGCUAGUUUUCAUCUGUAAUACCUUAUCAGCACAAUAAUUUCUCUUGCCUCCUGCUUAGCAACUUUUAACUCUAAGCUAGUGGUGUACAUAUUUACUUAAUUAAUUUGCUAUACAAAUCGCAUAACAAUUAAGCUUUGUUUUAAAGUUAAAUAAUUACAAACUAACAAUCUGCAAUAUUAAACUUUUAAUCAGAUAAAUUUUACAUUAAGACUUUCUCAUUAGCACAUCAACAACAUACGUACAUAUGUACCUACAUUAAUAAUUUCAGCGAAAAAAAAAAUGCGUCAGCGUUUUCAAUUUGCAAAACACCUUUUCUACUAAAGAGCAACUAAAGUCUGACAGCUGAAAUUGAGACAAUUUUCCAAAAGUACGUACACACACAUAAAAA